GACGAACGCUGGCGGCGUGCUUAACACAUGCAAGUCGAACGAUGAACCCGGAGCUUGCUCCGGUGGAUUAGUGGCGAACGGGUGAGUAACACGUGAGUAACCUGCCCUUGACUCUGGGAUAACUGCGGGAAACUGUAGCUAAUACCGGAUACGACCCUCGGCGGCAUCGCCAGGGGGUGGAAAGAAUUUCGGUCAAGGAUGGACUCGCGGCCUAUCAGCUAGUUGGUGAGGUAACGGCUCACCAAGGCGACGACGGGUAGCCGGCCUGAGAGGGUGUCCGGCCACACUGGGACUGAGAUACGGCCCAGACUCCUACGGGAGGCAGCAGUGGGGAAUAUUGCACAAUGGGCGCAAGCCUGAUGCAGCGACGCCGCGUGAGGGAUGACGGCCUUCGGGUUGUAAACCUCUUUCACCAGGGACGAAGCGCAAGUGACGGUACCUGGAGAAGAAGCACCGGCCAACUACGUGCCAGCCGCCGCUGUAA
This 484-nucleotide ribosomal RNA is filed under the name uncultured bacterium. Its description in RNAcentral is "partial 16S ribosomal RNA". It matches the Rfam family "Bacterial small subunit ribosomal RNA", at positions 28 to 523 of the family's 1533-position model. The record is from RNAcentral.